This 894-nucleotide ribosomal RNA is filed under the name uncultured Lactobacillus sp. Its description in RNAcentral is "bacterial SSU rRNA". It matches the Rfam family "Bacterial small subunit ribosomal RNA", at positions 31 to 885 of the family's 1533-position model. The record is from RNAcentral. Lineage: Bacteria; Bacillati; Bacillota; Bacilli; Lactobacillales; Lactobacillaceae.
GAACGCUGGCGGCGUGCCUAAUACAUGCAAGUCGAACGCACUCUCGUUAGAUUGAAGAAGCUUGCUUCUGAUUGAUAACAUUUGAGUGAGUGGCGGACGGGUGAGUAACACGUGGGUAACUUGCCCUAAAGUGGGGGAUAACAUUUGGAAACAGAUGCUAAUACCGCAUAAAACCUAGCACCGCAUGGUGCAAGGUUGAAAGAUGGUUUCGGCUAUCACUUUAGGAUGGACCCGCGGUGCCAUUAGUUAGUUGGUGAGGUAAAGGCUCACCAAGACCGUGAUGCAUAGCCGACCUGAGAGGGUAAUCGGCCACACUGGGACUGAGACACGGCCCAGACUCCUACGGGAGGCAGCAGUAGGGAAUCUUCCACAAUGGACGAAAGUCUGAUGGAGCAACGCCGCGUGAGUGAAGAAGGUUUUCGGAUCGUAAAACUCUGUUGUUGGAGAAGAACGUAUUUGAUAGUAACUGAUCAGGUAGUGACGGUGUCCAACCAGAAAGCCACGGCUAACUACGUGCCAGCAGCCGCGGUAAUACGUAGGUGGCAAGCGUUGUCCGGAUUUAUUGGGCGUAAAGCGAGCGCAGGCGGUUUCUUAAGUCUGAUGUGAAAGCCUUCGGCUCAACCGAAGAAGUGCAUCGGAAACUGGGAAACUUGAGUGCAGAAGAGGACAGUGGAACUCCAUGUGUAGCGGUGAAAUGCGUAGAUAUAUGGAAGAACACCAGUGGCGAAGGCGGCUGUCUGGUCUGUAACUGACGCUGAGGCUCGAAAGCAUGGGUAGCAAACAGGAUUAGAUAUCCUGGUAGUCCAUGCCGUAAACGAUGAGUGCUAGGUGUUGGAGGGUUUCCGCCCUUCAGUGCCGCAGCUAACGCAUUAAGCACUCCGCCUGGGAGUACGA